GGGUGUUCGGGUCAAUCCUUACGGGGCCUGACUAAUCCCCUGCGGCCCGGGCCCGGUGCCCCAACCCGACCCGAAUGAUAAGUGCGCGGAGGAACCCAGCGGAGAUUCGAAUUUGGGAUCUUAAAUGUCACCGGUGAGAGGCGCUACCACUGGACCAUUCACGCGGGGGCUUGAAUCAUGCUUGAAUAGCUACAUGUGAUUUUCAAAGAUUAUGCUAAUCACGUCAAACUCAAAAUGAGAUUGAAACUUCACUUUACAAUAAUUAAUAUUCAGGUUUAGUUGAUUAA
Molecule: long non-coding RNA, 287 nt
Filed under: Coffea arabica (coffee)
Lineage: Eukaryota; Viridiplantae; Streptophyta; Magnoliopsida; Gentianales; Rubiaceae
Description: long non-coding RNA (CARA_LNC006028)
Source: RNAcentral